GGCAUCCAGCAUCCAGUUCCCAGUGAGUCUGGAAGUCAACAGGAACCCAAGAGCUGAGUUUAGAGUCCCUUUUGGCAAGAAAAGCACCACCUGGUGAACCACUUUGAAAAGCUGAAAGAAGUAAACUGGUUUGCAAACACGUAGCAAAGCCCUUUGUUCUCACAAAGAAUAAGGUGGAGAUACUUCCCUGCAGUGACACCAAUCAGAGAGGGGCUGAGGAUGGCAUGAGGAGCAGGCUAAAAGGAAGGGAUGGUGUUCAUGGUACAAUGCCCAGCUCCAUGUGCUUCCUGUGCUGUUCCUAGCCAGGUUCUCAGCUCCUAAGUUGAAGUCUGCUGAAGCGUCCUUAGUCUUUGCUGCAUAGGCCGCUAAAGCCGUCUACCUUUCAGUGGAUCCAAAAGCACGUGUUUUGGAUUGUAAGCAAGAAACAAAGAAUGAAGGAAAGCCAGGAAGUCAUCAAUCUAGGAAAAAAGUUAGAGUUUUAACUAUGGCUCCUCCCAACAACUGAUUAAAGGCUAAGACAGCAGCUUGGCUGGAAAGACUGCUUCCCUCCUGACUCCCAAGCAAAGAAGUGAGGGCCACACACAAACAUGCACAGGAUUUCUUUUGAUGCAGGAAGCUUUACCAUUCAAAACAGUUGCCCCAAAUGAUGAGUUGAAGAGGAAUUCUAUUGGGAAGGGGAGAGAGCCCAAGCAAAAACAGAAGGAACGGAAUCUGACUGAUGAGCGUGGAAAAUGAAGGAACAAUUCAAGAUUUCACACACACCAACCCAUCACUUUCAACUGUUUCAUUUUUUGUAGUUGUUUCAGGCUCUGUUUAAGACUUUUGCUCCUUCUGUGGAGCACUGGUAAGUUUUCUUUCACUGCUUGUUUACUUAUGUAGACUAAUGUGAACCUAGAAUCCUGCUUUUACCUUCAUCAGGUCACUUACACAUGUGCUCUCUACUUUUUCUGUCGUGAUUUGCUCUUUGUCCUUCCCUUGACCAUCAGUGCCACCCCUGAAGAUCUCAAUUCCCUUCCUUAUUGCAGAAAUCUCUUUUCUUUCUGAACCAUGACCAUGUUACCGCACCUCUCAUGAGCUUCAUGUCAGUAGAUCACCACUAGCUGAAGUAAUAGCAAGGUUCAAGCCACCUGUAGGUCAAGGGGGUCAGAUACUUCUCCAUGUCCGUUUCAAUUACUUCAGUGGAACAGAAAGAGCCCCAAGAACUUCAAGGUAAUUUCUUGCUCUGCAUGAGAUUCCUGGAAUGUUGCUUGUGUGCACUUUCAUACUCUCUUUUGUACUAGCCUAAUGUUGUCUUCAUUCUCCACUAUCCUUAUUUCCCUAAAACUUGUGAAUUGUGAAUCCAGCCUUCUAAUUUCCUUACACAAACAUUAAACUGAACAUCUGUGGCUCUGUUGUAAUGUUAAUAAAUAUUUGAAUACAUGGAAAUGGG
This 1429-nucleotide long non-coding RNA is filed under the name Parus major (Great Tit). Its description in RNAcentral is "lncRNA (ENSPMJG00000000537.1)". The record is from RNAcentral. Lineage: Eukaryota; Metazoa; Chordata; Aves; Passeriformes; Paridae.